AUACUUACCUGGCAGGGGAGAUACCAUGAUUGCAAAGGUGGUUUUCCCAGGGAGAGCCUUAUGCAUUGCACUCUAGAUGGGGUGACCCCUGUGCUUUCCCCAAAUGUGGGAAACUCGACUGCAUAAUUUGUGGUAGUGGGGGACUGCUUUCAUACUUUCCCCUA
This is a small nuclear RNA of Otolemur garnettii (small-eared galago), 164 nucleotides long. Its record names the gene U1. It matches the Rfam family "U1 spliceosomal RNA". From Rfam's summary of the family: U1 is a small nuclear RNA (snRNA) component of the spliceosome (involved in pre-mRNA splicing). Its 5' end forms complementary base pairs with the 5' splice junction, thus defining the 5' donor site of an intron. The record is from Ensembl. Lineage: Eukaryota; Metazoa; Chordata; Mammalia; Primates; Galagidae.